CUGCUGUAAAAGAGUUUCUAAAUUGGUAGAGAUAAAAUUUUUACACAUGAAGCAAUAAGAGACAAAUGAAAGUACAGAUGAAUGGCUCAGGGAAGUUAGUGCACUAACCAAGGGAACACGAUCUAAUAGGCAUACUAGGAGGCAUUUGAGAGGUUAUCACAUUCAUAAAACAAAAAUAGGAACAAUCAUAGCCUAGGACUGCCAAAGAAAUAUAAUAGAAACUAAACAUGGUUGAGGACAGUUUUUCUCUUGUUUUUUAAAUAAAUAAUCAUGGCAAGGUGCAAUAAAAUAUCCACAUCUUUCCAAAUCAUCUUCAAACCUCUUUAAACACUACUGUAGCUGAUCGGUGAUAGUUCAGAGUGUUCCACAGCGUCGAAAUUCUAGAAGGAUUUUAAAGUUUACUAAAUUCAAAUGAAUCUUUGCUCCAGGAAGUCUGCAGUAAGGAGGCAUUUCUUUUCUUCCUUUUUUAUCCUACUGCUACCAGCCUUUAGUACAUUUACCAUUCCACUGCAAGCAAGUGAGGAAAUAGACAAGUGAGAAUAUCUGCUUAGGGACGUAUGGCAGCAAGGAUGCCCUUGGCUACAAGUAAAAGAAAAGCCCACUGAGACGUAAAUGAAGAGGAAAUCUCUUAUCUCCCAAGAUAAGAAGCACGCCGUGAGGGCUGGUAGCAGAAUGGUUGUCAUUCCAGGAGGCCCUCCCAGACUGUAUCCCAGUGGGUAUAGUCCAGUGAAACGACGGGAAAACUAUGACCAUGAGGGCCACUGACCAGGGGAAACAAAAACUGGACUGAUUGAGCUCUCCUGAUGUAGACCAGCCAGUGGCCCUGGUGGCUUCCUUGCAGAACUCCAGGGGUACCAUCCACAUUGUGCCCCUCAGAACAUGUCCAUCGCAGUGUAUUACAAUAUGCAUGGUGUCCCCUGAAGUUGUGCAGCUUAGCACUGGCUCACCUACUUAACCCCAGCCUUCUAUCCCAAGGGAAUGGGAAAGAACAGAUAUUUCAAGACCAAGUCAUCAUAUUAUUCCUUCUUCCAAGGCAGUAGGUCUCUUGUAGUAAUGUAAUUCACUCAAGUGAUUCUUGCAAAAUAAAGAUCUAUUCAAAUGUGA
This is a non-coding RNA of Chlorocebus sabaeus (green monkey), 1104 nucleotides long. The record is from RefSeq and is a predicted model, not a curated record. Lineage: Eukaryota; Metazoa; Chordata; Mammalia; Primates; Cercopithecidae.